CUUUUUCUCUGUUAAUGGAAAAUUUUCAGCUGGCUAUGCUAUCACAGUCCAAUUCAAACAAAUUAAACAAGGCAACUUACUUCAAUUUAAUUCAGAACCAAAAUCAGAACUAUAUGCUCUCAGUAGAGCUUGAAUAUUGUCAUCUCAAAAAACAGUUAACAUAUAUAAUGACA
This 173-nucleotide microRNA precursor is filed under the name Dasypus novemcinctus (nine-banded armadillo). Its description in RNAcentral is "miRNA (ENSDNOG00000027104.1)". Lineage: Eukaryota; Metazoa; Chordata; Mammalia; Cingulata; Dasypodidae. The record is from RNAcentral.